This 771-nucleotide ribosomal RNA is filed under the name uncultured bacterium. Its description in RNAcentral is "bacterial SSU rRNA". It matches the Rfam family "Bacterial small subunit ribosomal RNA", at positions 737 to 1503 of the family's 1533-position model. The record is from RNAcentral.
UUGCUGACGCUGAGGCCCGAAAGCGUGGGGAGCGAACAGGAUUAGAUACCCUGGUAGUCCACGCCGUAAACGAUGAGUGCUAGGUGUCGGGGUCUUAAAUGGCUUCGGUGCUGCAGCUAACGCAUUAAGCACUCCGCCUGGGGAGUACGGUCGCAAGACUGAAACUCAAAGGAAUUGACGGGAACCCGCACAAGCAGCGGAGCAUGUGGUUUAAUUCGAAGCAACGCGAAGAACCUUACCAGGGCUUGACAUCCCUCGGACAGUCCUAGAGAUAGGACCUUCCCUUCGGGGACUGAGGUGACAGGUGGUGCAUGGUUGUCGUCAGCUCGUGUCGUGAGAUGUUGGGUUAAGUCCCGCAACGAGCGCAACCCUUACUCUUAGUUGCCAUCAGGUUAUGCUGGGCACUCUAGGAGGACUGCCGGUGACAAACCGGAGGAAGGUGGGGAUGACGUCAAAUCAUCAUGCCCCUUAUGCCCUGGGCUACACACGUGCUACAAUGGCUGGUACAAUGGGUUGCGAACCCGCAAGGGGGAGCUAAUCCCUAAAAGCCAGUCUCAGUUCGGAUUGUGGGCUGCAACUCGCCCACAUGAAGCCGGAGUUGCUAGUAAUCGCGGAUCAGAAUGCCGUGGUGAAUGCGUUCCCGGGUCUUGUACACACCGCCCGUCACACCAUGAGAGCUGGCAACACCCGAAGUCAGCGAGCUAACCCUUUGGGAGGCAGCUGCCGAAGGUGGGGCUGGUGAUUGGGGUGAAGUCGUAACAAGGUAACCGU